UCCGUUAUGGUGUAGUGGUUAACAUUAUCGCCUCUCAUGCCUCUGCGUAGUCGGUACGCGAUAGCCCAGGGUUCGAUUCCCUGUAACGGAA
Paramarasmius palmivorus is the source of this 91-nucleotide non-coding RNA. NCBI's taxonomy places the organism in Eukaryota, Fungi, Basidiomycota, Agaricomycetes, Agaricales, Marasmiaceae. The record is from the annotation of a GenBank genome assembly.